AAAUUGAAGAGUUUGAUCAUGGCUCAGAUUGAACGCUGGCGGCAGGCCUAACACAUGCAAGUCGAACGGUAACAGGAAGCAGCUUGCUGCUUCGCUGACAAGUGGCGGACGGGUGAGUAAUGUCUGGGAAACUGCCUGAUGGAGGGGGAUAACUACUGGAAACGGUGGCUAAUACCGCAUGACGUCGCAAGACCAAAGAGGGGGACCUUCGGGCCUCUUGCCAUCAGAUGUGCCCAGAUGGGAUUAGCUUGUUGGUGAGGUAACGGCUCACCAAGGCGACGAUCCCUAGCUGGU
Molecule: ribosomal RNA, 294 nt
Filed under: Salmonella enterica
Lineage: Bacteria; Pseudomonadati; Pseudomonadota; Gammaproteobacteria; Enterobacterales; Enterobacteriaceae
Also listed under: 1 other name
Description: partial 16S ribosomal RNA
Rfam family: Bacterial small subunit ribosomal RNA
Source: RNAcentral